RNAcentral lists this ribosomal RNA (685 nucleotides) under Flavobacterium sp. RNAcentral describes it as "bacterial SSU rRNA". It matches the Rfam family "Bacterial small subunit ribosomal RNA", at positions 70 to 756 of the family's 1533-position model. The record is from RNAcentral. Lineage: Bacteria; Pseudomonadati; Bacteroidota; Flavobacteriia; Flavobacteriales; Flavobacteriaceae.
UAUAGUUCUUCGGAACUAGAGACCGGCGCACGGGUGCGUAACGCGUAUGCAAUCUACCUUUUACAGGGGAAUAGCCCAGAGAAAUUUGGAUUAAUGCCCCAUAGUAUAGUUUUUUCGCAUGAAGAGAUUAUUAAAGUUCCAACGGUAAAAGAUGAGCAUGCGUCCCAUUAGCUAGAUGGUAAGGUAAUGGCUUACCAUGGCGACGAUGGGUAGGGGUCCUGAGAGGGAGAUCCCCCACACUGGUACUGAGACACGGACCAGACUCCUACGGGAGGCAGCAGUGAGGAAUAUUGGUCAAUGGACGCAAGUCUGAACCAGCCAUGCCGCGUGCAGGAUGACGGUCCUAUGGAUUGUAAACUGCUUUUGUACGAGAAGAAACACUCCUACGUGUAGGAGCUUGACGGUAUCGUAAGAAUAAGGAUCGGCUAACUCCGUGCCAGCAGCCGCGGUAAUACGGAGGAUCCAAGCGUUAUCCGGAAUCAUUGGGUUUAAAGGGUCCGUAGGCGGUUUAGUAAGUCAGUGGUGAAAGCCCAUCGCUCAACGGUGGAACGGCCAUUGAUACUGCUAAACUUGAAUUAUUAGGAAGUAACUAGAAUAUGUAGUGUAGCGGUGAAAUGCUUAGAGAUUACAUGGAAUACCAAUUGCGAAGGCAGGUUACUACUAAUGGAUUGACGCUGAUGGACGA